Molecule: transfer RNA, 72 nt
Filed under: Monodelphis domestica (gray short-tailed opossum)
Lineage: Eukaryota; Metazoa; Chordata; Mammalia; Didelphimorphia; Didelphidae
Rfam family: tRNA
About the family: Transfer RNA (tRNA) molecules are approximately 80 nucleotides in length. Their secondary structure includes four short double-helical elements and three loops (D, anti-codon, and T loops).
Source: Rfam by way of RNAcentral
GGGGAUAUAGCUCAGGUUUAGAGCAUUUGACUGCAGAUCAAGAGGCCCCUCAUUCAAAUCCAGGUGUACCCU